GAUGAUGAUGAUGAUGAUGAUGAUGAGGAUGAAGAAGAAGAACCAGAGAAAUGGAAAAGACACUACUCGUCAAAGCAUAGGAUAUUGCUGGUUGGAGAAGGAGACUUCUCCUUCUCUCUUUGCUUAGCCAGGGCUUUUGGUUCUGCGCAUAACAUGGUUGCCACUACUAUUGACACUCAAGAAAACAUAGAGAAAAAAUACAGUAAUGGAGUAGCAAAUGUGAGGGAACUAGAAGACAGGGGAUGCUUGGUUUUGUAUGGAGUGGAUGCAAAGGAGAUGAGCCAACACUUCUUCUUGAGGACUCAAAGGUUUGAUCGGAUUGUGUACAAUUUCCCUCAUGUUGGUUUCCUUUACCGUGAAGGUAGCUACUGCCAGAUUCAGUUGAAUAAGAGAUUGAUAAAGGGCUUUUUAUCCAAUUCCAAAGUGCUGUUAAAGGAGGACAAUGGUGAGAUUCAUGUAACACACAAGGAAGGGGAUCCUUAUGACAAAUGGGAUCUAGUAAAGAAAGCAGAGAAGAUAGGCCUGGUUAGGCAUGACAUUGUACCCUUCUCCAAGAAUGAUUAUCCAGGGUAUAACAACAAGCGAGCCCAUGGGAACCUCGCCGAUGCCCCCUUUAACCUUGGCUAUUGCAGUACUUACAAGUUCAAGCUCAGUUACUCUGUCAACUCCUCACAGAAUAACAAGAAGGAAGUGCCAGCAUUCGAGGGUAAAUAACUGCUUAGCAAUUCUUCAUUAGAAUUAAGGUAACUAUUACUCAAAAUGUUGCCCUCGUAUGUUUAUAAAGCUGAACUUUUCUUAAUCUUAAUCUUGUUAUUAGCCAUGGAAUAUGGAAAACUGGAUCACAUAGUUUAAGGCUGGAUCACAUAGCCAUGGAAUAUGGAAC
RNAcentral lists this unclassified non-coding RNA (883 nucleotides) under Hevea brasiliensis (rubber tree). Lineage: Eukaryota; Viridiplantae; Streptophyta; Magnoliopsida; Malpighiales; Euphorbiaceae. The record is from RNAcentral.